GGCACGCCUAGCCCGACGGGGCGAACACCGGCAAACCUUCACCGGCUGGCGUGCGGAUUUACUGAGGG
RNAcentral lists this non-coding RNA (68 nucleotides) under unclassified sequences. RNAcentral's name for it is "int-alpA RNA". It matches the Rfam family "int-alpA RNA". From Rfam's summary of the family: Acidobacteria (1 example), Planctomycetes (1 example), Proteobacteria. Environment (Lake Washington) The record is from Rfam by way of RNAcentral.